UUUUCCUGGAAUAACCAACUAUACCAGGAGAUAGCUAAAAAUAUGUGCAAUCGACUAGACGAUAUCCGGUUACUGGACAAUUUUGUGGCUCACUCAAAAUUAAAAAUAUUUGAGCCAAUAUCAUUCAGUAUGACAAGCAAACUUUUUGCACCCGGCCUUUUCCUGGAAUAACCAACUAUACCAGAAGAUAGCUAAAAGUAUGUGCAAUCGACUAGACGAUAUCCGGUUACUGGACAAUUUUUGUGGCUCACUCAAAAUUAAAAAUAUUUGAGCCAAUAUCAUUCAGUAUGACAAGCAAACUUUUUGCACCUGGCCUUUUCCUGGAAUAACCAACUAUACCAGGAGAUAGCUAAAAGUAUGUGCAAUCGACUAGACGAUAUCCGGUUACUGGACAAUUUUGUGGCUCACUCAAAAUUAAAAAUAUUUGAGCCAAUAUCAUUCAGUAUGACAAGCAAACUUUUUGGUAAGGAAGCUUUUUGGUAGAUGGGCUUUUUGGUAGAUUGAUUAUAAUUCUACUAAUAAAUUAAUUUCUCAGCACCCGGCCUUUUUCUGGAAUAACCAACUAUACCAGGAGAUAGCUAAAAGUAUGGGCAAUUGACUAAACAAUAUGUGGCUGAUAGUCAUUUUGUGUUUCUUAUGCAAAAUUAAAAACGCUUUUAAUCCACCUAACAGUGUGAUGAGACAUUUCUUAUAACUCUUAUCACUCUCUUCGGAUAUUAUAUCGUUUGAGAACAUUUAGAACUUGAUGCUUCGCGAUGUUUUUGAUAACACAUACUACAUGGGAAAGUGGCAGGACUCAGAGAAUCGCUCAAAUCAGCAUAGGACAACAUCAGUGCUAGAAAUCUCAAAUCAAAUCAAUGGGAAGCGAAAAAAUGGCCCAUAAAAUAGACAUAGAUACGAAUUAUUGUUAAUGCUCUGUUAAUAAAAUAUCUAAAUUGUGGUGGGAAAACUGAAUUUUCCUAAAGGGGUUAUAUAUUGUACUGAGCCAAAAAAAUCGCAUUUUUUUUUAAUCGAUUUGAAGUUCAUACUUUACCCUUUGGCGAUUGUUUACUUUUUCGGUCCCACCUAUCAGCAUUGAAGUAUCGUUCUUACGUUUUUUUUACAAUAACUACAGUUCUACACCACCGAUUUCGUCCGGGUUUUUUUCAAUAGCGAUCAUUGUUACUAUUUACAGCUGAUAUCAGCUUGAUAAUCCUAAAAAAAUACGAAAAUGACAGUUUCGCUUCUAAACUACUAGCAAAAAAAGUAUCGCCCUGUUUGUUUGCAUGGAGCGUGGAGGACGAAACUUUAAAUAAACAAACAAAAAUACAGUUUCGCCCGUUGUAUUUUUUGCUGUAGUUUAAGAAAGCAAUAUCGUAGAAUCAAAAUUUUUAGGUUAAUUGGUUGCGUUUCAAAGCCCUCAUUCGCAUGUAUGAAAAAAGCCUUAUGUUUACAUUUGUAAGUAUCGCCAUUUUCACAAAAAAGGGUUGAAAUGAAAUCGCAGCUCCGGAUAUCACGCUAUCUCUGAAGUGCAUGCGUGCAUAGUUCCAAAUUUUACUUCGACAUCGACUUUUUCUAAAGGUGACUUCCCAGUAGUAUCCUUGAUUUGAAUUAUUAUCGCUAAUCCUAAUGCCAAAGAACAAAUAAAAACCUCUCGAAAACGAAACGUUUGGGAAAAUCAUCAUCAUUACUGGAAUUUUCAUUUUCACGAAACUUUUCGAUAACCUUCCGUCACUUGCGUUAAUGCACUGUGUGCACAGUGCACUGAAAAUCUAGCGAAAUCGUCUUAGGGCACCAGCGGGUCUAAUUCAGAGCUAUCUGCGCGGCGAGUAAAGUAAAGAAUACUAAAAAUUAAUUUCUAUUCCAUAAUUUUCAGUUCAGCAAUUCGAGAGAUCGUGCUCACCGCAAGCCAUGAAAAAUAGACUACGUUGUGAAGCGAUGGUCACUAUUUAUUAAAAAAUCACGGUUAAAUAAAAAAAAACUAUACUAUUAAAAAAUUUCAAAUAGUUUAUAAUUUUCACAAAACUUAUUAAGAAAAAUUGUUUAAUAAUCUUUCGUAAUAUUGUGUAAGAAAAAAGCUGAAAAUUUCAGUAUUUUCUCUAUCUGCAACAUAUACCAAUUACCAAUUAAUUGGUAUACGAAUUGGAAUAGGUUCGCCAAAUUUUGGAAGAAGUCUAUAAAAAACCCCUUGAAAAUUACCUAAAAAUUGUUGUAGUUCGAUUCAAUAAAAAAUCCCCAAAAAUGAAAUGUACCUAUUAAUGUGAAACACAGUGAAUAAUACAUACAAUAAAGACCCAUUUUUAUCAGUCUCAUGGUGUAUUUUAGGCUGACAAAAUGGGGACAUUGACUAAAUCGGGCAAUUUUUUUUCUUUAUAAUAAACUGAAGCUGUUAAAAUAUUCUUCCCGUCCCUUGAUGUAGUCUGAUAACUAUUUCUGAUUAUGAUGAACAUUUUAUUUUUGCAUAUUUCCAUCUUCAUGAUAAGGAAAACAUGCUCAAGAAAGGAUUUACUCGAAUUCAGUCUUGUUCGUCUGCUAGAGCCCAUCAAACAUAUGUUCAUAUUUGGCUGAUAAAAUCAGGGUUUCAAUGUAUUAUAAUAGAUAUUCAGCAUUCGAAGAAGUUUCUUGUGAACGAGUGUAGAACGACUUUGUUUCUACUUACUUGAAGUCAGCGGCGUAGCCAGAAAUUCGGUUUGGUGGGGGUUUGGUGAAAAUCGAUCAUACUGUCCAAACGGCAUAAUUCCGAAACCGUAAUUUUUGAAGUUUUAAAAUUAUGCAGAAUUAAUUUUUCAGAAAAUGGUAAUAGAGUUCGUGUCUAGCGAAUUUGUUGAGACUUUAUUGUAGUCAUGAAUAUUAACCUGAGAAAAAUCACCAUAAAUACUUCUUGGACGAUAUACCGUCAAAAUUAUUUUAUCAAAUGAUGCGCUGUUUAACGUUUGUAAAAUUCAUCGAAGAUACUAAACCUCCGAAGUUGGUGGUUUCAAAAUGAUGCUAUCUUGACCUUAAAUUACUGUUUUUAAACAUUUGACCUAUACAUAUGAUUGGUCAUACAACAAAAAUCAAAUGCUCAUCAAAAUCGAUCAGAACCUGCUAGAAUCGAAUGGAAAUCGUUAUUUUUCAUAAAUUUCUCUCUACAUUCGGAAAGUGUUAUCCUCGUUAUUAAUCAUAUUACGUUUUCGUCUCAACUCGACGCAUUCCCAAAAAAAACCUGUCUUAAUCCACCUAGUGGUGCAAUUGUGCUUGUCUCAUUUGUCCAGACUACGAUUCUAUGGCUGGUUAUGUUCAAUACAAUGGUGGAAAUGAAUAUUACAUGUUCAGUACGAUUUGCACAUACAUACAAUGGAUCGACAGCCACGAUCUUGAGAUACUAUGUGAUACUGAAACGUCGCUUGAAACCAGGGGCGGAUCAUGGAGAAAGAUCCGGGAGCUCCAGAUCCUGCCAAAAAUUUUCAACUUGUUAAGAAAUUUUAAACUAGUUUUAAUUUUAAAGUAGCUACCCCUCACUGCAUACUCCCUCCGGGCCGGUAUGAUUGACGAUUUUUAGAGUGAUUGCAUAAUCUUUCUAUAUGAGAAAGACAAAAAUGUACCAAAGUCCAAAAAAAGUCAAAAUACAAAUUUGAUUUUGAAAAUUUUUCAUUUCAGUUUAUAUGGGAAUUUGCUGUGUGGUUGCACUCUUCAACUCGUAACUCCGGAACCGGAAGUCCAAUCAAUAAAAAAUUCAAUAGCAGCCGAUGCGAAGGUUGUACCUUUCAUUUGAGACUAACUUUGUGCAAAUCGGUCCAGCCAUCUCUGAGAAACAGAGGUCACAUUUUUUCCACAUACACACAUACAUACACACACAGACAUUUUCCGAUCUCGACGAACUCAGUCGAUUGGCAUAUGACACUCGGCCCUCCGAGUCGGGAUUAGAUUGACGAAUUUUAGAGUGAAUGAGAAAGGCAAAAACAUUUUUGGCAAAUGCUGAAAGUUAUGCAUUUUUUGGUGAGCAGUUCUAUGUUUCAUAGACAUUAAAUCAAUUUUAACUUCUCUUCCUAUUAAAUAAAGACCCUUAUUACAGUACAUCUCUACAAAAACGAGAUCAAUUUGAAAAUAAAUCUGAGGACUAUGAUUGAUUACAGAACUCUGUAAUUUUCUAUUGGAAUGUUUUCAGGCAGGAAUUUGAUAUUGAUGCUAUUAGACAACUGUGAAAUGAAGACCAAUAGAUCAGGUACAUAUCAGGACCCCAUUCCGACAAUUUAUCAAAAGUCCUCAUGAUGUUUACAACAACAGGUUAUCAAUCUACGGAUCAGAUAAUUGUUAUUGUAAUAUUGAAUUAAAUCA
Topomyia yanbarensis is the source of this 4296-nucleotide long non-coding RNA. RefSeq lists it as uncharacterized. The record is from RefSeq and is a predicted model, not a curated record. NCBI's taxonomy places the organism in Eukaryota, Metazoa, Arthropoda, Insecta, Diptera, Culicidae. The transcript is spliced from 3 exons.